GUGAGGAAUAUUGGUCAAUGGGCGAGAGCCUGAACCAGCCAAGUAGCGUGCAGGAUGACGGCCCUAUGGGUUGUAAACUGCUUUUAUGUGGGGAUAAAGUGCGUGACGUGUCAUGCAUUGCAGGUACCACAUGAAUAAGGACCGGCUAAUUCCGUGCCAGCAGCCGCGGUAAUACGGAAGGUCCGGGCGUUAUCCGGAUUUAUUGGGUUUAAAGGGAGCGUAGGCUGUCUAUUAAGCGUGUUGUGAAAUUUACCGGCUCAACCGGUGGCUUGCAGCGCGAACUGGUCGACUUGAGUAUGCAGGAAGUAGGCGGAAUUCAUGGUGUAGCGGUGAAAUGCUUAGAUAUCAUGACGAACUCCGAUUGCGCAGGCAGCUUACUGUAGCAUAACUGACGCUGAUGCUCGAAAGUGCGGGUAUCAAACAGGAUUAGAAACCCUAGUAGUCC
RNAcentral lists this ribosomal RNA (445 nucleotides) under uncultured bacterium. RNAcentral describes it as "bacterial SSU rRNA". It matches the Rfam family "Bacterial small subunit ribosomal RNA", at positions 354 to 796 of the family's 1533-position model. The record is from RNAcentral.